This 619-nucleotide long non-coding RNA is filed under the name Cairina moschata (Muscovy duck). Its description in RNAcentral is "domestica (muscovy Duck (domestic type)) lncRNA (ENSCMMG00000005743.1)". The record is from RNAcentral. Lineage: Eukaryota; Metazoa; Chordata; Aves; Anseriformes; Anatidae.
GUUUGAAUGACUCAUCUAUUGCAUUCAGUCUCUCCAUCCUGCAACACCUAUUUGCCAAUUGCUAAUUAGCUGGCAUUGAAUUUUCCAAAUAGUACUGAAUACUUUUUCUGUGAUAAAUUUGUUUAAAGAAACACAUUUGACUCCCCUUGGAGAGAAAGUGGAGUUGAUGUAUGUUACAAGGAGGGACACAUUUUCUUUAAGCAUACAGCAAGAUGUCUGAUUGCAGAAGGUUUAACCAGAAGGACAGAAAGGCACAGAGAGACUCAUAGAUUUUGGAGUUCUACUGAGGCAGCGGUGCCACGGGGAAAGAUGCAGGAUGCUGGUCCUCCGCUACCAACCAAAGGGUGCGAUCUGACUUCCCAGAAGGCACAUGGCAGGAGGCAAGGGAACGGUUGUAUUGUGCCCGUAGCAUUAGUCAGAACUAGACAGGAUUUAAACAGCAGAGCCAUUCUAAGUAGCAAGGCACAAGAAAUUAGAUGAUUUUCUGAGGCCUGGGUAAGUUUGUAUUCACAACAGGUAAUGACAGCAUUAUAAAACCUAAGCACAUUAGAGUUGGAGUCAUUAGGUUUCAAGUACUCACAUCAUCUCAGAAAGUUUUACCCACCAUUUAAUUUAUGGA